This 433-nucleotide ribosomal RNA is filed under the name uncultured bacterium. RNAcentral's name for it is "partial 16S ribosomal RNA". It matches the Rfam family "Bacterial small subunit ribosomal RNA", at positions 29 to 507 of the family's 1533-position model. The record is from RNAcentral.
AACGAACGCUGGCGGCAUGCCUAACACAUGCCAGUCGAACGAGACCUUCGGGUCUAGUGGCGCACGGGUGCGUAACGCGUGGGAACCUGCCCUUAGGUUCGGAAUAACUCCCCGAAAGGGGUGCUAAUACCGGAUAAUGUCUUCGGACCAAAGAUUUAUCGCCUUUGGAUGGGCCCGCGUUGGAUUAGCUAGUUGGUAGGGUAAAAGCCUACCAAGGCGACGAUCCAUAGCUGGUCUGAGAGGAUAAUCAGCCACACUGGGACUGAGACACGGCCCAGACUCCUACGGGAGGCAGCAGUGGGGAAUAUUGGACAAUGGGCGAAAGCCUGAUCCAGCAAUGCCGCGUGAGUGAUGAAGGCCUUAGGGUUGUAAAGCUCUUUUACCCGGGAUGAUAAUGACAGUACCGGGAGAAUAAGCUCCGGCUAACUCCGUG